AUGAGUUUAUUCCAUGUUUUUGGGUUCGGUUUAAAGGUGGGGCAUCUGCUUUGGAUGCUAUGUUGCUGGAUUGUAUCUGUAAUUUCCAUGAACUGGUACCUCACUGGUGGGAUUGUGACAGACACCAAGGUAGGUUUGCUUGGUGAAGCUGCCAAUAUGUGCCUCAAAUGGUGGGAGAAAAUCCCAAUGAACAUCAGCAAGAUCCGCCACCAUUACUACCAGUAUAUCGGGUCGAAGAGAGUCCGAAAAACGUGGUGGAGGAGGCUUUUGUUUUCGUGGGUGGUUGGGUGGACAAUUGGGAGCCUCUGGAUCUUGUGGUACAUGAGCUCACAGGCCAGUGAGAAGAGGAAGGAGACUCUUGCAAGUAUGUGUGAUGAAAGGGCGAGGAUGUUGCAGGAUCAGUUUAAUGUCAGCAUGAACCAUAUCCAGGCCAUGUCGAUACUGAUCUCAACAUUCCACCACGGAAAGUAUCCAUCGGCCAUUGAUCAGAAAACUUUUGCGCGGUACACUGAAAGAACUGCUUUCGAGAGACCCCUCACAAGUGGCGUGGCAUAUGCUGUAAGGGUGCUCCACUCGGAAAAGGAACAAUUUGAGAAGCAACAGGGCUGGACUAUCAAGAGAAUGGAUACCCUCGAACAGAACCAGGUUCAUAAGAAUGACUAUGCCCCAGAGGCCUUGGAACCUUCCCCAGUUCAGGAAGAAUAUGCUCCUGUUAUCUUUGCACAGGAUACCGUUAGACAUGUCAUCUCUUUUGAUAUGCUGACCGGAAAGGAAGAUCGACAAAAUGUGUUGCGUGCAAGAGAAUCGGGAAAGGGGGUUCUUACUGCUCCUUUUCGGCUGCUUAAAACAAACAGACUUGGAGUAAUACUGACAUUUGCUGUCUACAAAAGAGAUCUGCCCUCAAAUGCAACUCCAAACGAAAGAAUUCAGGCGACUGAUGGGUAUCUCGGUGGAAUCUUUCAUAUUGAGUCACUAGUGGAGAAGUUACUUCAACAACUUGCUAGCAAGCAAACCAUCCUUGUGGACGUGUAUGAUACUACCAAUCAGUCGCAUCCAAUCAGCAUGUACGGUUCAAAUGUUUCAGAUGAUGGAUUGCAGCACGUCAGCUCCUUAAGUUUUGGAGAUCCCUUAAGGAACCAUGAGAUGCGGUGCAGGUUCAAACAGAAGCCACCUUGGCCGUGGUUAGCCAUUACAACUUCUAUUGGGAUCCUUGUGAUUGCAUUGCUUGUUGGCUACAUUUUCCAUGCAACUGUAAAUAGGAUUGCCAAAGUGGAGGAUGAUUUCCAUAAGAUGAUGGAACUCAAGAAACAGGCCGAGGCAGCUGAUGUUGCCAAAUCUCAGUUUCUUGCAACUGUUUCACACGAGAUCAGAACCCCAAUGAAUGGUGUCCUAGGAAUGUUACACAUGCUAAUGGACACAAACCUGGAUGUUACUCAACUAGAUUAUGUCCGAACUGCCCAGGGAAGUGGAAAAGCUCUAGUCUCACUUAUAAAUGAGGUAUUGGACCAGGCAAAGAUUGAAUCUGGUAAGCUGGAGCUUGAGGCAGUGCGUUUUGAUCUGCGAGCUAUUCUGGAUGAUGUUUUGUCACUCUUUUCGGGGAAGUCUCAACAAAAAGGAGUAGAGUUGGCAGUAUACAUCUCAGAUCAGGUUCCUGAUAUGCUUAUUGGUGAUCCCGGGCGGUUUAGGCAGAUUAUCACUAAUCUCAUGGGGAAUUCAAUCAAAUUCACAGAGAAAGGACACAUCUUUGUGACGGUUCAUCUUGUCGAGGAGCUGAUCGGCUCAAUAGGCGUUGAGACCGAAUCAUCAUCCAAGAACACUUUGAGUGGUUUCCCCGUUGCAGAUAAACACCACAGUUGGGGAGGAUUUAGGUGUUUCGGUCAAGAUGGAUCUGCAAGCCGUUUUUCAUCCUCAUCUGACCUCAUAAAUAUUAUUGUAUCUGUUGAGGACACAGGAGUAGGAAUCCCUCUAGAAGCCCAAUCUCGUGUUUUCACUCCUUUUAUGCAGGUGGGACCAUCCAUCUCACGUACACAUGGAGGCACAGGAAUUGGACUAAGCAUAAGCAAGUGUUUGGUUGGCCUCAUGAAAGGGGAAAUCGGGUUUGUUAGCAUUCCGAAGAUUGGUUCCACAUUUACAUUUACUGCUGUUUUCACCAAUGCCAGCUCCAGUUCAAAUGAGUUAACCAUCGAGCAAAUCAACAGCCAGUCAAAUGCUGCAUCCUCAGAAUUUAAUGGCAUGACGGCAUUAGUAGUGGACCAAAGACCUGUUAGGGCCAAGAUGUCAAGUUAUCAUAUCGAACGGCUUGGAAUUCGUGUUGAAGUAGUUUCUGAUUUGAAUCAGGGUUUAGCUAGCAUAAGCUGUGGGAGUACAACUAUCAAUAUGGUCCUUGUUGAACAGGAAGUCUGGAAUAAAGAUUCUGGAACUUCAGCUCUCUUUGUCAGUAAUUUACCGAAAAUUGAUGGACGGGUUCCUCCAAAACUGUUCAUUCUUGCCAAUUCUAGUAGCUCAUGCAGAAUAAGCUCUGCAACUUCAGGUGUCUCUACCCGAACCGUUAUCAUGAAACCGCUCAGGGCAAGCAUGCUCGCUGCCUCACUGCAAAGAGCCAUGGGAGUUGGUAACAAGGGAAAUCUCCGGAAUGGGGAGCUCCCAAGUUUGUCUCUCCGCAAUCUUCUGCUCAGAAGGAAAAUUCUUAUUAUAGAUGAUAAUAAUGUGAAUCUCAGAGUAGCUGCCGGUGCUUUGAAAAAGUAUGGGGCAGAGGUGAUCUGUGCAGACAGUGGUAAAAAGGCAAUCUCACUGCUUACGCCGCCCCACCAUUUUGAUGCCUGCUUCAUGGAUAUCCAGAUGCCAGAGAUGGAUGGGUUUGAAGCUACAAGGAGAAUACGUGACUUAGAACGCAAUAUCAGCAACAGUAUUCAAGCAUGGCAUGUACCCAUUCUGGCCAUGACUGCUGAUGUAAUUCAGGCAACCCAUGAGGAAUGCACAAAGUGCGGAAUGGAUGGAUAUGUUUCAAAACCAUUUGAAGCUGAACAGCUUUAUCGCGAAGUUUCACGUUUUUUCCAAUCUACUACAACUGGAAACGCGUAGUGAGGACUUGAAUUGAUGAGUUGCUGAUGGCAUCAGCACACCGUUUCUCCAAGUCACUGUAAAUGCAUUCAGAAUUUUCCUCGGAGAGAACAUUUCUUUUGUCACACAGAGUGUAUAUAGGAGCCCUGCUCGAUUACUUGUCAUCCAAGUCAGUUUUCUUUUCCCUUGUAUUUAUUUUUAUGAGCCAGAUAUCAAAGCCGGUUCAUUCUCCUUGUAAAGUUGAUCCAUCUCCAAGCUUCUUCCACUGAAAUCGGUAGCCUGGAAUUUUGAGUUCCGGUUGAAGCUCGAGAGAACCGACAACGUUGAAGCUCUGGGUUUGGAUUCCGAUUCGGAUUCUGAAUGUAAUAAUAGAAGCUCGCAUCGUUGAAGAUAUGUCACACUUCUUAGCAUCUGUGUAUUAUGUAGAGAUUGAUCUGGCAGGAAGGAGGAAGUUGUAGCUUUUCCUGGGAAGCUGUUGGAGGAUGCACAUUGUAAAUGACAACCUCAAUAAAGAUUUGUAGUCGGACAUUUUUUCUUUUUAGAUUUGAUGUAACCAUACAAUGUUGAUAAUUUGAGAAAGUCGAUUAUUAUUGUCCGAGUCUA
This is an RNA transcript of Malus domestica (apple), 3663 nucleotides long. It is a transcript of the gene named histidine kinase 3-like, with no coding region annotated. The record is from RefSeq and is marked provisional. Lineage: Eukaryota; Viridiplantae; Streptophyta; Magnoliopsida; Rosales; Rosaceae.